UCUGGGGACCUCUUGGGGUGUCCGGUACCGCACCGAAAUCUAACCGGAUGCUCCCUGGUUGACUUACACUUCCGUAUCGUAUGGCAUCCACCUCUGGCACCUGGCGCACUUUACUGGUUUUGGUUGGAAUGGGUGAAUAUCAUGCACCACCCCCUUUACCCUGACAGUUUGCACCCUGGAGGGUUGGGGAGUAAAAGCUGUCCAUGCCAAAACGGAAUUUGCCCAGUAGCAACUACCAUUUUCCCGCUGGACAGUCGUAAACAACAGAACACAGAGAGUGCAUGACGUUAUUUUAGUGUUGGUCAUUGACACAGACAUUUCUGAUGACUGUCACAUGCAGAAAAGGGGAGCAUCCAUUUGAUUACCCCGAGCGCUCUAAACAAAGGCCAAAAUGGAAAAGUAAUGAUGUUCAGGGUCCAGUGAUGUCUGCAAAUGGAUGCCGACCAGUUAGGCUGCAUCACCAAUGUGACCAGACAAAUAUUUUGCCCCACAAGCGUCUGGGAGUAGAGCUUGAAUAAACACAUAUUCUAAUAUGCACUGACAGCUUUAUGAUGAUAUAAAAAUCACAAUAAAUAGAUUGACUCAU
RNAcentral lists this long non-coding RNA (586 nucleotides) under Gigantopelta aegis. Its description in RNAcentral is "uncharacterized LOC121376781, transcript variant X4". Lineage: Eukaryota; Metazoa; Mollusca; Gastropoda; Neomphalida; Peltospiridae. The record is from RNAcentral.